AGAGUUUGAUCCUGGCUCAGAUUGAACGCUGGCGGAAUGCUUUACACAUGCAAGUCGAGCGGCAGCGCGGGGGCAACCCUGGCGGCGAGCGGCGGACGGGUGAGUAAUACAUCGGAACGUACCCUGUCGUGGGGGAUAACGAGUCGAAAGAUUCGCUAAUACCGCAUACGACCUGAGGGUGAAAGCGGGGGAUCGCAAGACCUCGCGCGAUAGGAGCGGCCGAUGUCGGAUUAGCUAGUUGGUGAGGUAAAGGCUCACCAAGGCGACGAUCCGUAGCUGGUCUGAGAGGAUGAUCAGCCACACUGGGACUGAGACACGGCCCAGACUCCUACGGGAGGCAGCAGUGGGGAAUUUUGGACAAUGGGGGCAACCCUGAUCCAGCCAUUCCGCGUGAGUGAAGAAGGCCUUCGGGUUGUAAAGCUCUUUCGGCAGGAACGAAACGGUCGUCUCUAACAUAGAUGGCUAAUGACGGUACCUGAAGAAGAAGCACCGGCUAACUACGUGCCAGCAGCCGCGGUAAUACGUAGGGUGCGAGCGUUAAUCGGAAUUACUGGGCGUAAAGCGUGCGCAGGCGGUUUCGUAAGACAGAUGUGAAAUCCCCGGGCUUAACCUGGGAACUGCGUUUGUGACUGCGAGACUUGAGUGCGGCAGAGGGGGGUGGAAUUCCACGUGUAGCAGUGAAAUGCGUAGAGAUGUGGAGGAACACCGAUGGCGAAAGGCAGCCCCCUGGGUCGACACUGACGCUCAUGCACGAAAGCGUGGGUAGCAAACAGGAUUAGAUACCCUGGUAGUCCACGCCC
This 800-nucleotide ribosomal RNA is filed under the name uncultured bacterium. RNAcentral's name for it is "bacterial SSU rRNA". It matches the Rfam family "Bacterial small subunit ribosomal RNA", at positions 8 to 802 of the family's 1533-position model. The record is from RNAcentral.